AUCGCUUCUCGGCCUUUUGGCUAAGAUCAAGUGUAGAAGAUGCACUGAUGAAACUUAAUUUCGAACACUUUAACUCCU
Small nuclear RNA from Heterocephalus glaber (naked mole-rat), 78 nucleotides. Its record names the gene U2. It matches the Rfam family "U2 spliceosomal RNA". Rfam says of the family: U2 is a small nuclear RNA (snRNA) component of the spliceosome (involved in pre-mRNA splicing). Complementary binding between U2 snRNA (in an area lying towards the 5' end but 3' to hairpin I) and the branchpoint sequence (BPS) of the intron results the bulging out of an unpaired adenosine, on the BPS, which initiates a nucleophilic attack at the intronic 5' splice site, thus starting the first of two transesterification reactions that mediate splicing. Lineage: Eukaryota; Metazoa; Chordata; Mammalia; Rodentia; Bathyergidae. The record is from Ensembl.